AUGGAGCCCAUCAGCGGCAUCGGCGGUGGGGGCGCGUCCUCGGCGGCGGAGUGGUACCGCACGGAGGCGGCAUGGGCGUUCCAGCAUUACCUAGACCGGGCGGCGCCGCACACGGCGGGGCGGUGGGCGGGCACGCUGCUGGCCACCGCCGUCUACGCGCUGCGGGUCUACUACGUGCAGGGCUUCUACGUCGUCUCCUACGGCCUCGGCAUCUACCUCCUCAACCUCCUCAUCGGCUUCCUCUCCCCCAUGGUCGACCCGGAGCUCGAGGCCGGCCCCGCGCUCCCCACCCGCGGCAACGAGGAGUUCAAGCCAUUCAUCCGCCGCCUCCCCGAGUUCAAGUGCUGGUAUGCCAUCACAAAAGCCUUCUGUGUUGCUUUUUCCAUGACAUUCUUCUCGGUAUUUGCCGUUGUGCCAGUCGGAGGUGCUGCUGCUACAUUUGGCGGAGCUACCGCUGCCGCCCCAAAGGCCAACCUUCAUCAGACACUACCUCAUAACAGUGCCUCAAAGUUCUGUGCCCCAUCUCCCCUCUUUCUAAAUUACUGA
RNAcentral lists this ribosomal RNA (546 nucleotides) under Triticum aestivum (bread wheat). RNAcentral describes it as "partial small subunit ribosomal RNA". Lineage: Eukaryota; Viridiplantae; Streptophyta; Magnoliopsida; Poales; Poaceae. The record is from RNAcentral.